ACUAGCAAAUGAGGUUUGUCGUGUCAUGGAUGAUUAUAUAUGUUCAGUGGAAUGUAUUAAAUAUAUUUAUAAAUAAAAUGUACGUUCAACUAUUCAUCCAUGGAUUUCAGAUAGCUUAUUGUAUCUUAUCGAAUAUUUAAUGAGUUAAAUUCAUUAAAUACUUGUUUGGUUUGGAUAAAAUUUAGAUAUUUAGCCUUGUUUGGU
RNAcentral lists this long non-coding RNA (204 nucleotides) under Olea europaea (common olive). Its description in RNAcentral is "long non-coding RNA (OEUR_LNC009592)". Lineage: Eukaryota; Viridiplantae; Streptophyta; Magnoliopsida; Lamiales; Oleaceae. The record is from RNAcentral.